CGCGGGAAUUCGAUUGAGUUUGAUCAUGGCUCAGAUUGAACGCUGGCGGCAGGCCUAACACAUGCAAGUCGAGCGGUAACAUUGAUAGCUUGCUAUCAGAUGACGAGCGGCGGACGGGUGAGUAAUGCUUGGAAAUCUGCCUGAUAGAGGGGGACAACCACGGGAAACUGUGGCUAAUACCGCAUAAUCUAUACGUAGCAAAGUGGGGGACCUUCGGGCCUCACGCUAUCAGAUGAGUCCAAGUGGGAUUAGCUAGUUGGUGAGGUAAGAGCUCACCAAGGCGACGAUCUCUAGCUGGUUUGAGAGGAUGAUCAGCCACACUGGAACUGAGACACGGUCCAGACUCCUACGGGAGGCAGCAGUGGGGAAUAUUGCACAAUGGGCGCAAGCCUGAUGCAGCCAUGCCGCGUGUGUGAAGAAGGCCUUCGGGUUGUAAAGCACUUUCAGUCGCGAGGAAGGGCUAUUAGUUAAUAACUGAUAGCAUUGACGUUAACGACAGAAGAAGCACCGGCUAACUCCGUGCCAGCAGCCGCGGUAAUACGGAGGGUGCGAGCGUUAAUCGGAAUCACUGGGCGUAAAGCGCAUGC
This 587-nucleotide ribosomal RNA is filed under the name uncultured Gammaproteobacteria bacterium. RNAcentral describes it as "bacterial SSU rRNA". It matches the Rfam family "Bacterial small subunit ribosomal RNA", at positions 1 to 572 of the family's 1533-position model. The record is from RNAcentral. Lineage: Bacteria; Pseudomonadati; Pseudomonadota; Gammaproteobacteria.